CGAAAUCGGUAGACGCUACGGACUUAAAAUCCGUCGACUUUAAAAAUCGYGAGGGUUCAAGUCCCUCUAUCCCCA
Molecule: transfer RNA, 75 nt
Filed under: Pityranthe trichosperma
Lineage: Eukaryota; Viridiplantae; Streptophyta; Magnoliopsida; Malvales; Malvaceae
Description: Diplodiscus trichospermus partial tRNA-Leu
Rfam family: tRNA
About the family: Transfer RNA (tRNA) molecules are approximately 80 nucleotides in length. Their secondary structure includes four short double-helical elements and three loops (D, anti-codon, and T loops).
Source: RNAcentral